Molecule: ribosomal RNA, 671 nt
Filed under: Lelliottia amnigena
Lineage: Bacteria; Pseudomonadati; Pseudomonadota; Gammaproteobacteria; Enterobacterales; Enterobacteriaceae
Description: bacterial SSU rRNA
Rfam family: Bacterial small subunit ribosomal RNA
Source: RNAcentral
GUCUGUCAAGUCGGAAUGUGAAAUCCCCGGGCUCAACCUGGGAACUGCAUUCGAAACUGGCAGGCUAGAGUCUUGUAGAGGGGGGUAGAAUUCCAGGUGUAGCGGUGAAAUGCGUAGAGAUCUGGAGGAAUACCGGUGGCGAAGGCGGCCCCCUGGACAAAGACUGACGCUCAGGUGCGAAAGCGUGGGGAGCAAACAGGAUUAGAUACCCUGGUAGUCCACGCCGUAAACGAUGUCGACUUGGAGGUUGUUCCCUUGAGGAGUGGCUUCCGGAGCUAACGCGUUAAGUCGACCGCCUGGGGAGUACGGCCGCAAGGUUAAAACUCAAAUGAAUUGACGGGGGCCCGCACAAGCGGUGGAGCAUGUGGUUUAAUUCGAUGCAACGCGAAGAACCUUACCUACUCUUGACAUCCAGAGAACUUAGCAGAGAUGCUUUGGUGCCUUCGGGAACUCUGAGACAGGUGCUGCAUGGCUGUCGUCAGCUCGUGUUGUGAAAUGUUGGGUUAAGUCCCGCAACGAGCGCAACCCUUAUCCUUUGUUGCCAGCGGUUCGGCCGGGAAACUCAAAGGAGACUGCCAGUGAUAAACUGGAGGAAGGUGGGGGAUGACGUCAAAGUCAUCAUGGGCCCUUACGAGUAGGGGCUACACACGUGCUACAAUGGCAUAUACAAA